UCGCGGCCUAUCAGCUUGUUGGUGAGGUAAUGGCUCACCAAGGCGACGACGGGUAGCCGGCCUGAGAGGGUGACCGGCCACACUGGGACUGAGACACGGCCCAGACUCCUACGGGAGGCAGCAGUGGGGAAUAUUGCACAAUGGGCGCAAGCCUGAUGCAGCGACGCCGCGUGAGGGAUGACGGCCUUCGGGUUGUAAACCUCUUUCAGUAGGGAAGAAGCGAAAGUGACGGUACCUGCAGAAGAAGCGCCGGCUAACUACGUGCCAGCAGCCGCGGUAAUACGUAGGGCGCAAGCGUUAUCCGGAAUUAUUGGGCGUAAAGAGCUCGUAGGCGGUUUGUCGCGUCUGCCGUGAAAGUCCGGGGCUCAACUCCGGAUCUGCGGUGGGUACGGGCAGACUAGAGUGAUGUAGGGGAGACUGGAAUUCCUGGUGUAGCGGUGAAAUGCGCAGAUAUCAGGAGGAACACCGAUGGCGAAGGCAGGUCUCUGGGCAUUAACUGACGCUGAGGAGCGAAAGCAUGGGGAGCGAACAGGAUUAGAUACCCUGGUAGUCCAUGCCGUAAACGUUGGGCACUAGGUGUGGGGGACAUUCCACGUUUUCCGCGCCGUAGCUAACGCAUUAAGUGCCCCGCCUGGGGAGUACGGCCGCAAGGCUAAAACUCAAAGGAAUUGACGGGGGCCCGCACAAGCGGCGGAGCAUGCGGAUUAAUUCGAUGCAACGCGAAGAACCUUACCAAGGCUUGACAUGAACCGGAAAGACCUGGAAACAGGUGCCCCGCUUGCGGUCGGUUUACAGGUGGUGCAUGGUUGUCGUCAGCUCGUGUCGUGAGAUGUUGGGUUAAGUCCCGCAACGAGCGCAACCCUCGUUCUAUGUUGCCAGCACGUGAUGGUGGGGACUCAUAGGAGACUGCCGGGGCCAACUCGGAGGAAAGUGGGACGACGUCAAAUCAUCAUGCCCCUUAUGUCUUGUGCUUCACGCAUGCUACAAUGGCCGGUACAAAGGGUUGCGAUACUGUGAG
RNAcentral lists this ribosomal RNA (1018 nucleotides) under uncultured Actinomycetes bacterium. RNAcentral's name for it is "bacterial SSU rRNA". It matches the Rfam family "Bacterial small subunit ribosomal RNA", at positions 231 to 1261 of the family's 1533-position model. Lineage: Bacteria; Bacillati; Actinomycetota; Actinomycetes. The record is from RNAcentral.